UACAGAGGGGGCAAGCGUUGUUCGGAAUUACUGGGCGUAAAGGGCGCGUAGGCGGCCUUCUAAGUCGAACGUGAAAUCCCCGGGCUCAACCCGGGAACUGCGUCCGAUACUGGAAGGCUUGAAUCCGGGAGAGGGAUGCGGAAUUCCAGGUGUAGCGGUGAAAUGCGUAGAUAUCUGGAGGAACACCGGUGGCGAAGGCGCAUCCUGGACCGGCAUUGACGCUGAGGCGCGAAAGCCAGGGGAGCAAAGCGGGG
Molecule: ribosomal RNA, 254 nt
Filed under: uncultured bacterium
Lineage: Bacteria
Description: partial 16S ribosomal RNA
Rfam family: Bacterial small subunit ribosomal RNA
Source: RNAcentral